CUUUCCCAUGUGUAAGACACACAUGCUCUCUGCUUGAGACUGGAAAGCCCCACAGGACAGGGCUCACGGCCGAGCCAGCCCUGUGUCCCCCGGGCUGCCCACCCCUGUGGGGGCUGACUGACUGAUGGGGGGGGUGGACCUGCCGGCUUUAAGGACAGCUGUCACCAAGGCCGUUUAUUCCUGCUCAAGCAUUUGUUCUCUGUGUCGCAGGCAUUUUCCUGACCCUAUCCCAAGAAAGGAUCCCGGCUUUUGUGUCCUCUGACUCUGGUGCCUGGAGAAACUGAGGCAGGAUUUGCCUCCCACCCUCCUUCCAUUCAGGCCUCGAUUCUCGCGGACGGCCCAGCGCAGGACCAGUGCGUCCCAGGCACGAUAUGGCUUCUGUCUGGUCCUGCAUUCCACGCUUUUCUUCACAUUUGAUUCACUUUUUGCUGGAGUAAAUUGAUUUGAAAAGGAACCUUCACCUUUUCCUGGGAGUCUGCUUUACAGCAUCAAGAGACUCAAAUGUAAAAGUGUCCAUUGCAGUGUCUUGAAUAGCUAAUCACGGGACACAGAGCGAAUGCUCAUUCGUCGGGGAAACGGAAUGAAUUAUGGUCCAUUUACAGCAUGUCAUCUGACGCCGCCUUUAUAAAGAAUGAAAUGGACACACACCAGUUGAAGGGAUUUCCAUGCUGUGUUGAGUAUAGCAAGAUGCAGAGAAGAAAAUGUAAUGUGAUACAACUGUGGUAAAGGAAUGGCCAAGAAGGAAAAAAAAAAACCAACCCAACCCUUUUAUGAACAGGUACAGAGGUCGACAUGCAAAAUCUUAGGAAAUAUGCAAGGACAGAUGGACUUUUUGUACCGCUUGGCCCAGCUCGAAGCUCACUGUGAAAUCACGUUUACUGAACGUAAAGCCACCUAAGAAAUGUUAAAAGACACUGUGUCCCCCAGACUGCCCACCCCCGUGGGCAUCAUCAAAUAAGGGCAGUCUCUAUGAUAGGCUCAGAAAGAACGACAGAGCCUUGACGAUAAAAUAAUUAAAAUAAUGAAGCCUG
This is a long non-coding RNA of Suricata suricatta (meerkat), 1031 nucleotides long. RefSeq lists it as uncharacterized. The transcript is spliced from 2 exons. The record is from RefSeq and is a predicted model, not a curated record. NCBI's taxonomy places the organism in Eukaryota, Metazoa, Chordata, Mammalia, Carnivora, Herpestidae.